UACGUAGGGUGCGAGCGUUGCCCGGAUUUAUUGGGCGUAAAGGGCGCGCAGGCGGCUACGCACGUCCGUUGUGAAAUCGCUCGGCUCAACUGGGCGGGGUCAGCGGAUACGGCGUAGCUGGAGCAAGCUAGGGGGCAAUGGAAUUCCCGGUGUAGUGGUGGAAUGCGUAGAUAUCUGGAGGAACACCGGUGGCGAAGGCGGCGUUCUGGACUGCAACUGACACUGAGGAACGAAAGCCAGGGGAGCAAACGGG
RNAcentral lists this ribosomal RNA (253 nucleotides) under uncultured bacterium. Its description in RNAcentral is "partial 16S ribosomal RNA". It matches the Rfam family "Bacterial small subunit ribosomal RNA", at positions 524 to 776 of the family's 1533-position model. The record is from RNAcentral.